Molecule: ribosomal RNA, 253 nt
Filed under: uncultured bacterium
Lineage: Bacteria
Description: partial 16S ribosomal RNA
Rfam family: Bacterial small subunit ribosomal RNA
Source: RNAcentral
UACGGAGGGUGCAAGCGUUGUCCGGAUUUAUUGGGUUUAAAGGGUGCGUAGGCGGCCCGUUAAGUCAGUGGUGAAAGCCUCCAGCUCAACUGGAGAACUGCCAUUGAUACUGGCGGGCUUGAGUACAGACGAGGUAGGCGGAAUUGAUUGUGUAGCGGUGAAAUGCAUAGAUACAAUCAAGAACACCGAUUGCGUAGGCAGCUUACUAGGCUGUAACUGACGCUGAGGCACGAAAGUGUGGGGAUCAAACAGG